AUUCAGUCUCUCUAUCGUGAGUUUCGAUCAGAUGGCAGGUUAUGGAUAAAUUAUCAAAUCUCAACAUCAAUCAUAUGAUAGAUUCAAUUAGCUCAAGUUUGACUGUGAUUCUUAUGAAAACUUUUUUUCAUCAAUCACACUACUAUGGCCAUAGAUUUAAGGACUCAGCCUCUUAAAUUCUAUGAGACUACUCCCUUCUGC
RNAcentral lists this long non-coding RNA (201 nucleotides) under Elaeis guineensis (African oil palm). Its description in RNAcentral is "long non-coding RNA (EGUI_LNC051358)". Lineage: Eukaryota; Viridiplantae; Streptophyta; Magnoliopsida; Arecales; Arecaceae. The record is from RNAcentral.